UGGGGAAUAUUGGACAAUGGACCAAAAGUCUGAUCCAGCAAUUCUGUGUGCACGAUGACGUUUUUCGGAAUGUAAAGUGCUUUCAGUUGGGAAGAAAAAAAAUGACGGUACCAACAGAAGAAGUGACGGCUAAAUACGUGCCAGCAGCCGCGGUAAUACGUAUGUCACAAGCGUUAUCCGGAUUUAUUGGGCGUAAAGCGCGUCUAGGUGGUUAUGUAAGUCUGAUGUGAAAAUGCAGGGCUCAACUCUGUAUUGCGUUGGAAACUGCAUGACUAGAGUACUGGAGAGGUAAGCGGAACUACAAGUGUAGAGGUGAAAUUCGUAGAUAUUUGUAGGAAUGCCGAUGGGGAAGCCAGCUUACUGGACAGAUACUGACGNUAAAGCGCGAAAGCGUGGGUAGCAAACAGGAUUAGAUACCCUGGUAGUUCACGCCGUAAACGGUGAUUACUAGGUGUUGGGGGUCGAACCUCAGCGCCCAAGCUAACGCGAUAAGUAAUCCGCCUGGGGAGUACGUACGCAAGUAUG
RNAcentral lists this ribosomal RNA (525 nucleotides) under uncultured bacterium. RNAcentral describes it as "bacterial SSU rRNA". It matches the Rfam family "Bacterial small subunit ribosomal RNA", at positions 355 to 896 of the family's 1533-position model. The record is from RNAcentral.